Molecule: unclassified non-coding RNA, 272 nt
Filed under: Gowidon longirostris (Long-snouted lashtail)
Lineage: Eukaryota; Metazoa; Chordata; Lepidosauria; Squamata; Agamidae
Description: contains tRNA-Trp, tRNA-Ala, tRNA-Asn, tRNA-Cys, and tRNA-Tyr
Source: RNAcentral
UAGGGACUUAGGAUAAAUAAAAACCAAGGACUUUCAAAGUCUAAAUAAGAGCAUACCUCUUAGCCCCUGACUAAAACCUAUAGAACUAAUCUACAUCUCCUGAUUGCAAAUCAGACGCUUUAAUUAAACUAAGGCCUCCCGGGGAUGGAAGGCUUCGAUCCCACAUUACAUUAGUUAACAGCUAACACGCUAACCAACAAGCAUCAACCCCAAGGAUUAAGGGCUAUCAAACCCACUAUUUGAUUUGCAAUCAAACAUCUUUUAAACUCUAU